AGGGACAAUAUUGGUUUUUCCUCAAGCAUUUCCCAUUGAACAAGAAAUCCAAACUCUCUUCAAUUUUAGUCCAUCAUCUUUCUCUUCUACUCCUUUUCUUCCCUACAAAAAACCCUAAAUUUUCCUCUCAGAUCGGAACCCUAAUUGAAAAUGGCGACUACGUUGAGCUCCGCCGGUGGUCUACUAGCUAUGUUGAAUGAAAAUCACCGACAGUUGAAACUCCACGCGCUGUCAAAUCUCAAUGCAUUUGUUGAUUACUUUUGGCCUGAGAUUUCUACAUCGGUUGCGCUCAUGAGUUGUUUGGUAGCUGGUUAGAAUUUUGCAAGAAAUAGUACUGCAGUAUUAGUUGCUCUUAGGUAAGUUUCAGAAUUUAAUUUUGUGUUGUUUUUGUUUUGUGAAAUUGAAUUGUGUAAAAUUGUUGAAUUGUUGAACAAUUAAUUGAUUUGUAUAGUUAAUGUACGAUUGUUGUGUAAUUUCUGAAUGAAGAGUUGUUUGGUA
Molecule: long non-coding RNA, 498 nt
Organism: Capsicum annuum
Lineage: Eukaryota; Viridiplantae; Streptophyta; Magnoliopsida; Solanales; Solanaceae
Exons: 2
Source: RefSeq, a predicted model, not a curated record